UCCGGUUUGUCACCGGCAGUCUCCCAUGAGUCCCCAACUUAAUGCUGGCAACAUGGAACGGGGGUUGCGCUCGUUGCGGGACUUAACCCAACAUCUCACGACACGAGCUGACGACAGCCAUGCAGCACCUGUGUGUCGGCUCCCUUUCGGGCACGCCUCCGUCUCGAGAGGCUUCCGACCAUGUCGAGGGUAGGUAAGGUUUUUCGCGUUGCAUCGAAUUAAUCCACAUCAUCCACCGCUUGUGCGGGUCCCCGUCAAUUCCUUUGAGUUUUAACCUUGCGGCCGUAGUCCCCAGGCGGAGCACUUAAUGCGUUAGCGUCGGCACCGCGGGGGUCAAUACCUCGGACACCUAGUGCCCAUCGUUUACAGCGUGGACUAC
RNAcentral lists this unclassified non-coding RNA (379 nucleotides) under uncultured bacterium. Its description in RNAcentral is "contains 16S-23S intergenic spacer region". The record is from RNAcentral.